GUGGCAUCGCCGGGGCCUUUUUGGGUAAGAUCGGGGAGUAUCUGUUCUUAUCAGUUUAAUAUUCAUACCCCCAUCUGGGACCAUAUAUUAAAUUGAUUUUUUUGGGAAAAGGGGGUGGAAUAGGGGUUUUCGGCCCCCCCCACGAUCACCCGGUAUUGCAGAUUCCAGGAGGGGCACUUUCU
Small nuclear RNA from Polypterus senegalus (gray bichir), 182 nucleotides. RefSeq annotates it as U2 spliceosomal RNA. NCBI's taxonomy places the organism in Eukaryota, Metazoa, Chordata, Cladistia, Polypteriformes, Polypteridae. The record is from RefSeq and is a predicted model, not a curated record. The transcript has a single exon.